This 459-nucleotide ribosomal RNA is filed under the name uncultured bacterium. Its description in RNAcentral is "partial 16S ribosomal RNA". It matches the Rfam family "Bacterial small subunit ribosomal RNA", at positions 338 to 795 of the family's 1533-position model. The record is from RNAcentral.
CCUACGGGAGGCAGCAGUGAGGAAUAUUGGUCAAUGGCCGGGAGGCUGAACCAGCCAAGUCGCGUGAAGGAAGACGGCCCUACGGGUUGUAAACCUCUUUUGUCAAGGAACAAAGUGAGGCUCGGGAGCCUCUGUGAGAGUACCUGAAGAAAAAGCAUCGGCUAACUCCGUGCCAGCAGCCGCGGUAAUACGGAGGAUGCGAGCGUUAUCCGGAUUUAUUGGGUUUAAAGGGGGCGCAGGCGGGUGUUAAAGUCAGCGGUAAAAUAGCGGGGCUCAACCCCGGUUAGCCGUUGAAACUGGGUGCCUUGAGUGCGCGAAGGGUAGGCGGAAUGCGUGGUGUAGCGGUGAAAUGCUUAGAUAUCACGCAGAACUCCGAUUGCGAAGGCAGCCUACCGGCGUGCAACUGACGCUGAUGCACGAAAGCGUGGGUAUCGAACAGGAUUAGAUACCCUUGUAGUC